GGACCUCUCCCUGACGGGUCAAAAGGUCAUUUGUGUAAGUCACUUGGGAGGUCCUUGGAAGAGGACAUUAGAGCAAUGUGACGGGGUCCACAUCUGCCCACCUCUACAGAGCUGCAGCCUUCGGGCACUAGCUUUGCCUCUGAGUCCUUCUGCUGCUUCUCCUUUCUCCGCUGCUUUGACUGACUGUUCCAACAGACCUAUCAGGAUCUCAGUGCUGAGGGACCAGCAACACACACUCACCCGAGACCUGGAGCUGUGGGCUUAGACACAGGCUUAGAGCCCAGCCACAGAGUAGGGGACGACCUCAAUGGAUUCAUGAGUCAGAGAGAGCGGGGCACGUCCCUUUACUUGUGUCUGUGCACACACUUCAACCCACGUGCUGCCUCCCCUCUCUUCUCUCUCUCGAAAUCCUCCAACAAAUAGUUUCUUCUGUUGCCAGAUCAUUCUUAGGGUGAGCAUCUAUGUGCCACAUCCACCCUAUGAGGGGAAUCCCUAAUUAGCAUUCAUACUUUGUACACAUUUUUAGAAGGGAAAUGGAAAGAAAGGAGACUCCUUUCAAAGAAGCACCUCGAGAUGGACAAAGUAUGAACGCAUGAUCUCUUGCUGACCGCUGUCCUGUUCAGAUCGGUGGAAAUUCCAUGAGCGUUGGGCCCAGGACAGUGGGGUGUCUCUGGCAACAUUUUUGGCCCACUCUUUUUUGGCCCCCUUCUGAACCCUCACGACCAGAAAGGGCUGGGGAGACCAGUCUCAGAAGAAUGGCAAGACCUUCAGGGAGGACUGCCCGGCUCUCACUCACGGCAUCUCAGUGUGUUCAGGCGCAGAACUGGCCACAACUCAUGCCUAGGAGGUUGUCGGGUUAGUUUACAGCCGAUCGUAAAGCACGUGCAGUUAUCAGGAGUCGAUGAACGCCACUUGUUAAGAUGGCAGAAACACAGGAUCAGCCGGGACGCGAGCCGUUACCCCAGCCGUUACCCCGUGUAUGUGAACACGCCAAGGAAGCCACCUUCGCAUGCCCUCGAGGAGGGGAGAGGCUCCAGGACCCAUGGACAGUAUGAGGGCCACUGUACCAAAGCACCGCAGACUGGGAGGCUUCACCCACAGACAUCGCCUCAC
This 1113-nucleotide long non-coding RNA is filed under the name Marmota monax (woodchuck). The record is from RNAcentral. Lineage: Eukaryota; Metazoa; Chordata; Mammalia; Rodentia; Sciuridae.